CGACAGGCUUAACACAUGCAAGUCGAGGGGCAGCACAGGUAGCAAUACCGGGUGGCGACCGGCGCACGGGUGAGUAACGCGUAUGCAACUUACCUAUCAGAGGGGGAUAACCCGGCGAAAGUCGGACUAAUACCGCAUGAAGCAGGGGCCCCGCAUGGGGAUAUUUGCUAAAGACUCAUCGCUGAUAGAUAGGCAUGCGUUCCAUUAGGCAGUUGGCGGGGUAACGGCCCACCAAACCGACGAUGGAUAGGGGUUCUGAGAGGAAGGUCCCCCACAUUGGUACUGAGACACGGACCAAACUCCUACGGGAGGCAGCAGUGAGGAAUAUUGGUCAAUGGCCGAGAGGCUGAACCAGCCAAGUCGCGUGAGGGAUGAAGGUUCUAUGGAUCGUAAACCUCUUUUAUAAGGGAAUAAAGUGCGGGACGUGUCCCGUUUUGUAUGUACCUUAUGAAUAAGGAUCGGCUAACUCCGUGCCAGCAGCCGCGGUAAUACGGAGGAUCCGAGCGUUAUCCGGAUUUAUUGGGUUUAAAGGGUGCGUAGGCGGCCUUUUAAGUCAGCGGUGAAAGUCUGUGGCUCAACCAUAGAAUUGCCGUUGAAACUGGGGGGCUUGAGUAUGUUUGAGGCAGGCGGAAUGCGUGGUGUAGCGGUGAAAUGCAUAGAUAUCACGCAGAACCCCGAUUGCGAAGGCAGCCUGCCAAGCCAUUACUGACGCUGAUGCACGAAAGCGUGGGGAUCAAACAGGAUUAGAUACCCUGGUAGUCCACGCAGUAAACGAUGAUCACUAGCUGUUUGCGAUACACUGUAAGCGGCACAGCGAAAGCGUUAAGUGAUCCACCUGGGGAGUACGCCGGCAACGGUGAAACUCAAAGGAAUUGACGGGGGCCCGCACAAGCGGAGGAACAUGUGGUUUAAUUCGAUGAUACGCGAGGAACCUUACCCGGGUUUGAACGCAUUCGGACCGAGGUGGAAACACCUUUUCUAGCAAUAGCCGUUUGCGAGGUGCUGCAUGGUUGUCGUCAGCUCGUGCCGUGAGGUGUCGGCUUAAGUGCCAUAACGAGCGCAACCCUUGCCACUAGUUACUAACAGGUGAUGCUGAGGACUCUGGUGGGACUGCCAGCGUAAGCUGCGAGGAAGGCGGGGAUGACGUCAAAUCAGCACGGCCCUUACAUCCGGGGCGACACACGUGUUACAAUGGCGUGGACAAAGGGAGGCCACCUGGCGACAGGGAGCGAAUCCCCAAACCACGUCUCAGUUCGGAUCGGAGUCUGCAACCCGACUCCGUGAAGCUGGAUUCGCUAGUAAUCGCGCAUCAGCCAUGGCGCGGUGAAUACGUUCCCGGGCCUUGUACACACCGUCCGUCAAGCCAUGGGAGCCGGGGGUACCUGAAGUCCGUAACCGAAAGGAUCGGCCUAGGGUAAAACUGGUGACUG
Molecule: ribosomal RNA, 1430 nt
Filed under: uncultured organism
Description: 16S ribosomal RNA
Rfam family: Bacterial small subunit ribosomal RNA
Source: RNAcentral